This 107-nucleotide small nucleolar RNA is filed under the name Olea europaea subsp. europaea. RNAcentral's name for it is "Plant small nucleolar RNA R71". It matches the Rfam family "Plant small nucleolar RNA R71". Rfam says of the family: R71 is a member of the C/D box family of snoRNAs containing the C (UGAUGA) and D (CUGA) box motifs. Lineage: Eukaryota; Viridiplantae; Streptophyta; Magnoliopsida; Lamiales; Oleaceae. The record is from Rfam by way of RNAcentral.
AUCCCAUGAUGUGGGCACUUUUGCAGCAUAUUUUCGAACCUAUUCCAAGCUUCAUCAAAGUUCUCCGAGUCCCUUUGAUGAAAAAUAGAUAUGUCAUGCUUGAACUU